CUGCGAGGGAGGAGGGGGGCGUCCAGUCAAGGCUCAGUCAGGGACAUCCCUGCCUCAGUUUACAUCCUUCUUCUUUUCAACAGCAGAUGAUAUACGUGGUGCCCAGGUGGCUGCACGUGGAAGGGUUCAGCGCCGCCGCAGCUGGAGCAGGGGGCACUGUGUCCUGGUGGCCACCAGGAUCCCCUGCGCCUUGGCUCCUGGCUGAUCCUCCAUCCUGCCCUUGCUGAGGCCCCCGAUACCAGAGAAGAAGCAGUGCUGCAGUCUGCUGGUGACCGUUCAGAUGUUAAGGUGCUACAGGACCCGCAGAUGGCUGGUUCAGGUGGAGACCUUUAUGGCUGGAACAGCUAAAUGGUGGGCAGGCCACCAGCCGCAGGCUCAGCUCUGCUGCUCGCACGCAUUUGAUGAUUAAAAAGAGAAGUUCACCUCAGGCUUGCAAGAUGGCAACCAUUAUGCAAGAGAAGUGCCGGCAAAAUAAUGCAGUAAUGCAGUCGGGCAUUGUUACAGGGUAUCAUAAGCAGGGGAAGUCUGCAUCUGUCAUCAGAAUUCAAACAGAAGGUGGUGAAACCAUGGCAGUUGUUUCAUUUGGAGGACAGAAAAAACAAAACAAAACCAAAAAAGACUUGGAGAAUGUAAUUUGUGAUUACAACAACAAUUGUUGUAAUUGCAACAUGGGAUUCAGCAGCAGAAUAUGCCGUGCUGUGCAACCACAGAGAAAUAGUGAUGCUAACACCCCAAUUUACAGAUUGAAGUUCAGAGGAAAAUCGGGUUUCAGUCAAAUGAGACUGAUGGGACCAGGAAGUCGGACCCCGCAGGUUUUCCAUUGCACAGAGAAGCCACAUCUGAUAAUUUUUGGAAUGCAAUAUUCUGUCCAGCUCUGUUGUUCCUUGCCCAGACACUGA
RNAcentral lists this long non-coding RNA (899 nucleotides) under Falco tinnunculus (common kestrel). Its description in RNAcentral is "lncRNA (ENSFTIG00000003243.1)". Lineage: Eukaryota; Metazoa; Chordata; Aves; Falconiformes; Falconidae. The record is from RNAcentral.